Molecule: ribosomal RNA, 504 nt
Filed under: uncultured bacterium
Lineage: Bacteria
Description: partial 16S ribosomal RNA
Rfam family: Bacterial small subunit ribosomal RNA
Source: RNAcentral
AUUGAACGCUGGCGGCAGGCUUAACACAUGCAAGUCGAGCGGGGUGAUGGUGCUUGCACUAUCACUUAGCGGCGGACGGGUGAGUAAUGCUUAGGAAUCUGCCUAUUAGUGGGGGACAACAUCUCGAAAGGGAUGCUAAUACCGCAUGCGUCCUACGGGAGAAAGCAGGGGAUCACUUGUGACCUUGCGCUAAUAGAUGAGCCUAAGUCGGAUUAGCUAGUGUGGUGGGGUAAAGGCCUACCAAGGCGACGAUCUGUAGCGGGUCUGAGAGGAUGAUCCGCCCGACUUGGACUGAGACACAGCCCAGACUCCUACAGGAGGCAGCAGUUGGGAAUAUUGGACAAUGGGGGGAACCCUGAUCCAGCCAUGCCGCGUGUGUGAAGAAGGCCUUAUGGUUGUAAAGCUCUUUAAGCGAGGAGGAGGCUCUUUUGGUUAAUACCCAAGAUGAGUGGACGUUACUCGCAGAAUAAGCACCGGCUAACUCUGUGCCAGCCGCCGCGGUAA